AUGCAAAAACAGGUCAUGAGUUUAAAACAACAUGGUGUGAGAUCCGAGUAUCUUGGCAGCACCCAAAUGAAUAGCUCUGUUAGCAGUGAGGCUGAAAAAGGCAUGUAUGAUGUUCUGUACAUGACCCCUGAGAAAGCUAUUGCACUUCCUUCAAGGUUCUGGAGUAACUUGCAAGCUUCCGGAAUCUGCUUGUUCGCCAUUGAUGAAGCGCAUUGCAUAUCGGAAUGGGGUCAUGAUUUCAGGCCGGAGUACAAGCAGCUGCAUUUAUUGCUGAGCACCUUUUGGGUGUUCCCUUCGUUGCUCUAA
Molecule: ribosomal RNA, 306 nt
Filed under: Triticum aestivum (bread wheat)
Lineage: Eukaryota; Viridiplantae; Streptophyta; Magnoliopsida; Poales; Poaceae
Description: partial small subunit ribosomal RNA
Source: RNAcentral